GCGUGAGUGAUGAAGGCCUUAGGGUCGUAAAGCUCUUUCACCAGGGAUGAUAAUGACAGUACCUGGAAAAGAAACCCCGGCUAACUCCGUGCCAGCAGCCGCGGUAAUACGGAGGGGGUUAGCGUUGUUCGGAAUUACUGGGCGUAAAGCGUACGUAGGCGGAUUAGUAAGUUAGGGGUGAAAUCCCGGGGCUCAACCCCGGAACUGCCUCUAAAACUGCUAGUCUUGAGUUCGAGAGAGGUGAGUGGAAUUCCGAGUGUAGAGGUGAAAUUCGU
RNAcentral lists this ribosomal RNA (275 nucleotides) under uncultured bacterium. RNAcentral's name for it is "partial 16S ribosomal RNA". It matches the Rfam family "Bacterial small subunit ribosomal RNA", at positions 399 to 691 of the family's 1533-position model. The record is from RNAcentral.